Molecule: signal recognition particle RNA, 306 nt
Filed under: Metallosphaera tengchongensis
Lineage: Archaea; Thermoproteati; Thermoproteota; Thermoprotei; Sulfolobales; Sulfolobaceae
Description: signal recognition particle sRNA
Rfam family: Archaeal signal recognition particle RNA
Source: RNAcentral
UGGUCGGGUAGGGUGUAGGUCUCGCCAGCCUAUACACCCGCGUGGCGUAAUGCGGGCACCAGUAACCAUUAUGCGGUUCAUAUGCAGGUGAGGAAGUCCAGAGAUUACGAUGAAGACCGCCUAGCAGGGCUGGCGGAUGUGGUCCUUUCCUUCGGAGGAAGGAGAGGAACCACAUUAGCUGGGAGAAUCGACGAGGCCCGGAAGGGAGCAGUCGUACCCGGACGUCGGCGCUUGCUAGUCUCCGGUCCGAGGAGGCUUUGGGUAUAACUUCCCCAUCUGUAUAGGACCGCAUAAUGGAGCCGACCG